RNAcentral lists this ribosomal RNA (487 nucleotides) under uncultured bacterium. RNAcentral describes it as "bacterial SSU rRNA". It matches the Rfam family "Bacterial small subunit ribosomal RNA", at positions 15 to 518 of the family's 1533-position model. The record is from RNAcentral.
GAUCAUGGCUCAGGACGAACGCUGGCGGCGUGCUUAACACAUGCAAGUCGAGCGAUGAAGCUUCUUCGGAAGUGGAUUAGCGGCGGACGGGUGAGUAACACGUGGGUAACCUGCCUCAUAGAGGGGAAUAGCCUUCCGAAAGGAAGAUUAAUACCGCAUAAGAUUGUAAUAUCGCAUGAUAUAGCAAUUAAAGGAGUAAUCCGCUAUGAGAUGGACCCGCGUCGCAUUAGCUAGUUGGUGAGGUAACGGCUCACCAAGGCGACGAUGCGUAGCCGACCUGAGAGGGUGAUCGGCCACAUUGGGACUGAGACACGGCCCAGACUCCUACGGGAGGCAGCAGUGGGGAAUAUUGCACAAUGGGGGAAACCCUGAUGCAGCCAACGCCGCGUGAGUGAUGACGGUCUUCGGAUUGUAAAGCUCUGUCUUCAGGGACGAUAAUGACGGUACCUGGGGAGGAAGCCACGGCUAACUACGUGCCAGCAGCUGC